This 402-nucleotide ribosomal RNA is filed under the name uncultured bacterium. RNAcentral describes it as "bacterial SSU rRNA". It matches the Rfam family "Bacterial small subunit ribosomal RNA", at positions 355 to 774 of the family's 1533-position model. The record is from RNAcentral.
UGGGGAAUAUUGGACAAUGGGGGAAACUCUGAUCCAGCAAUGCCGCGUGAGUGAAGAAGGCCUUAGGGUUGUAAAGCUCUUUCGCCCGCGAAGAUAAUGACGGUAGCGGGAGAAGAAGCCCCGGCUAACUCCGUGCCAGCAGCCGCGGUAAUACGGAGGGGGCUAGCGUUGUUCGGAAUUACUGGGCGUAAAGCGUACGUAGGCGGAUGCGCAAGUUGGGGGUGAAAUCCCGGGGCUUAACCUCGGAAUUGCCCUCAAAACUGCACGUCUUGAGACCGAGAGAGGUAAGGGGAAUUCCUAGUGUAGAGGUGAAAUUCGUAGAUAUUAGGAAGAACACCAGUGGCGAAGGCGCCUUACUGGCUCGGUACUGACGCUGAGGUACGAAAGCGUGGGGAGCAAACA